Small nuclear RNA from Erinaceus europaeus (western European hedgehog), 102 nucleotides. Lineage: Eukaryota; Metazoa; Chordata; Mammalia; Eulipotyphla; Erinaceidae. The record is from Ensembl.
GUGCUCGCUUUGGCAGCACAUGUACUAAAAUUGGAACGAUACAAAGAAUUGUAUGGCCCAUGCACAAGGAUGACACAAAUUCAUGAAGUAUUCAUAAAAAAA